Molecule: ribosomal RNA, 1431 nt
Filed under: Cryobacterium sp. 2018
Lineage: Bacteria; Bacillati; Actinomycetota; Actinomycetes; Micrococcales; Microbacteriaceae
Description: bacterial SSU rRNA
Rfam family: Bacterial small subunit ribosomal RNA
Source: RNAcentral
UGGCUAAUUGCUUACCCAUGCAAUCGUACGGUGAAGAGGAGCUUGCUCCUUGGAUCAGUGGCGAACGGGUGAGUAACACGUGAGCAAUCUGCCCUUGACUCUGGGAUAACUGCGGGAAACUGUAGCUAAUACCGGAUAUUACCUUGGAAGGCAUCUUCUGGGGUGGAAAGAAUUUUGGUCAAGGAUGAGCUCGCGGCCUAUCAGCUAGUUGGUGAGGUAAUGGCUCACCAAGGCGACGACGGGUAGCCGGCCUGAGAGGGUGACCGGCCACACUGGGACUGAGACACGGCCCAGACUCCUACGGGAGGCAGCAGUGGGGAAUAUUGCACAAUGGGCGCAAGCCUGAUGCAGCAACGCCGCGUGAGGGACGACGGCCUUCGGGUUGUAAACCUCUUUUAGUAGGGAAGAAGCGACUGGGUUUUCCUGGGAGUGACGGUACCUGCAGAAAAAGCACCGGCUAACUACGUGCCAGCAGCCGCGGUAAUACGUAGGGUGCAAGCGUUGUCCGGAAUUAUUGGGCGUAAAGAGCUCGUAGGCGGUUUGUCGCGUCUGCUGUGAAAACCCGAGGCUCAACCUCGGGCCUGCAGUGGGUACGGGCAGACUAGAGUGCGGUAGGGGAGAUUGGAAUUCCUGGUGUAGCGGUGGAAUGCGCAGAUAUCAGGAGGAACACCAAUGGCGAAGGCAGAUCUCUGGGCCGUAACUGACGCUGAGGAGCGAAAGCAUGGGGAGCGAACAGGAUUAGAUACCCUGGUAGUCCAUGCCGUAAACGUUGGGAACUAGAUGUGGGGACCAUUCCACGGUCUCCGUGUCGCAGCUAACGCAUUAAGUUCCCCGCCUGGGGAGUACGGCCGCAAGGCUAAAACUCAAAGGAAUUGACGGGGGCCCGCACAAGCGGCGGAGCAUGCGGAUUAAUUCGAUGCAACGCGAAGAACCUUACCAAGGCUUGACAUAUACCGGUAACGCCUGGAAACAGGUGCCCCGCAAGGUCGGUAUACAGGUGGUGCAUGGUUGUCGUCAGCUCGUGUCGUGAGAUGUUGGGUUAAGUCCCGCAACGAGCGCAACCCUCGUCCUAUGUUGCCAGCACGUAAUGGUGGGAACUCAUGGGAUACUGCCGGGGUCAACUCGGAGGAAGGUGGGGAUGACGUCAAAUCAUCAUGCCCCUUAUGUCUUGGGCUUCACGCAUGCUACAAUGGCCGGUACAAAGGGCUGCGAUACCGCAAGGUGGAGCGAAUCCCAAAAAGCCGGUCUCAGUUCGGAUUGAGGUCUGCAACUCGACCUCAUGAAGUCGGAGUCGCUAGUAAUCGCAGAUCAGCAACGCUGCGGUGAAUACGUUCCCGGGCCUUGUACACACCGCCCGUCAAGUCAUGAAAGUCGGUAACACCCGAAGCCAGUGGCCGAACCCGUAAGGGACGGAGCUUUCGAAAGGGGGAA